CCUACGGGAGACAGCAGUGGGGAAUAUUGCACAAUGGGGGAAACCCUGAUGCAGCGACGCCGCGUGAGUGAAGAAGUACUUCGUUACGUAAAGCUCUAUCAGCAGGGAAGAAAAUGACGGUACCUGAGUAAGAAGCCACGGCUAACUACGUGCCAGCAGCCGCGGUAAUACGUAGGGUGCAAGCGUUAUCCGGAUUUACUGGGUGUAAAGGGAGCGUAGAGGGUGCGUCAAGUCUGGAGUGAAAGGGUGCAGCUUAACUGCUGAAUUGCAUUGGAAACUGGCGAACUAGAGUGCGGGAGGGGUAAGCGGAAUUCCUAGUGUAGCGGUGAAAUGCGUAGAUAUUAGGAGGAACACCGGUGGCGAAGGCGGCUUACUGGACCGUAACUGACGUUGAGGCUCGAAAGUGUGGGGAGCAAACAGGAUUAGAUACCCGGGUAGUC
RNAcentral lists this ribosomal RNA (440 nucleotides) under uncultured bacterium. RNAcentral's name for it is "partial 16S ribosomal RNA". It matches the Rfam family "Bacterial small subunit ribosomal RNA", at positions 338 to 795 of the family's 1533-position model. The record is from RNAcentral.